UGUAAUUAGUUUAUUUUUUUAUCUACAUUUAAUGUUCUAUGCAUAUUUCCAAAGAUUCGAUGGGAUUGAUGAAAAUUUUUUGGGUGGAAACUAAACAGGGUCUUAAGCGAAUAGGACCAAAUCGUGCCAAGCAUGCAUUCGUCCUCUACAAGCUGACACGGCCUCGUGGGAUCCGAUCCUCUGAAAUUCGUGCUGCUUCACUUCUCUCAACUAUGUUUACACUUCUCUCCACUGUUUCACACAUCUCGAUACAUAUUCGACGGUGUAGAUAAGCAAUGCCUAGCAUGCAGAUCCAAAAAAACUGUCUUCUAAUUUCAGCGCAGCCAUACACACCGUUACCUUUUCUGCUGUUUUUCUUAAGAUUCUUUCUGUUCCUAAUUUGUCUGCGUCAUAUGCUUGUCACAAAUAUAGACUCUGUUUGGUUCUUUUUGUUAAAUUUUGACUAGCUAAAACUAUUUUAGCUUUCAAUGACUAGUGAGACUAAACUAUUUUAGCUCUUCUUAGUUAGUGUGUUUAAAAAUUUAUUACUAAAGUUUUGAAAAUUUAGCUGGCUAAAAUUUAGUAAGGAGAACCAAACAAGCCUAUAGUAGCACGUACCACAAAGUCCAAAGCUUUGCCAAAACGUGCACGAGCCAGCCGAUGUUAUGUUCGAACCAUGGGAAAUUGUCGUGUCAGAUAGUAUAUGGUUUCUACUUUCUAUUAGUAUACAUUCUAAUGUUCCCACAUGGUGCUGUGUUUUUUUUUUGAAGAAUGCUCCAUAUAGUGUUUCUCCCUAAAACAUUGACAAGUCGAGAGGGCGGUGUCCGGAUUAGAGUAUGAGUGUGAAACAUGAGGCAAAAUUGAAACAAAAUUUAGAUGAAACUUUCAGAUUUUUUUAGAAAAUUUGGUGCUGGGUCUCACGUCAUAUACUAUGUGUCAAAUCUUUUUAAAACCGUGCAUUUUAUCUUCCUGGAAAGUCCGCUUUUCCUCUCUCAACUCCAAAACCGGGCAAACCACCUACCUCAACUUUUUAAACCGUGCAUUUUAACUUCCUGGAGUGGUUUCGAAUGCGGUUUUGCUACAACGAAUAAUUAUUUUGCUACAGUGACAAUGGUUUUGUUUUUUAUUUUUUAAUUAUUUUGGUUGAAUCUUUAAAAAUCAUAGUAAAUCACAAAAAAUCAUAAAAUAGAAAAUCCAAUUUUGUUGGAUUCCACAUAAGUAGAUCUACACAAUGUACAUAUAAUAUGAUAUGCUUUAGUACAAAGUUUUUGCUAUAAAGAUUUUGUCUUUUUCUUUUUUAUUUAUUUUGGCUAAAUAUUUGAAAAUCAUAGUAAAUUAUAGAAAAAUCAUAAAAUCUAAAAUAUAAUUCUGUUGUACUCCACAUG
RNAcentral lists this long non-coding RNA (1364 nucleotides) under Sorghum bicolor (sorghum). RNAcentral describes it as "long non-coding RNA (SBIC_LNC006013)". The record is from RNAcentral. Lineage: Eukaryota; Viridiplantae; Streptophyta; Magnoliopsida; Poales; Poaceae.